GACGAACGCUGGCGGCGUGCCUAAUACAUGCAAGUUGAGCGCUGAAGGUUGGUACUUGUACCAACUGGAUGAGCAGCGAACGGGUGAGUAACGCGUGGGGAAUCUGCCUUUGAGCGGGGGACAACAUUUGGAAACGAAUGCUAAUACCGCAUAAAAACUUUAAACACAAGUUUUAAGUUUGAAAGAUGCAAUUGCAUCGCUCAAAGAUGAUCCCGCGUUGUAUUAGCUAGUUGGUGAGGUAAAGGCUCACCAAGGCGAUGAUACAUAGCCGACCUGAGAGGGUGAUCGGCCACCUUGGGACUUGGACACGGCCCAAACUCCUACGGGAGGCAGCAGUAGGGAAUCUUCGGCCAUGGACGAAAGUCUGACCGAGCAACGCCGCGUGAGUGAAGAAGGUUUUCGGAUCGUAAAACUCUGUUGGUAGAGAAGAACGUUGGUGAGAGUGGAAAGCUCAUCAAGUGACGGUAACUACCCAGAAAGGGACGGCUAACUACGUG
This 497-nucleotide ribosomal RNA is filed under the name uncultured bacterium. RNAcentral describes it as "partial 16S ribosomal RNA". It matches the Rfam family "Bacterial small subunit ribosomal RNA", at positions 28 to 507 of the family's 1533-position model. The record is from RNAcentral.